RNAcentral lists this ribosomal RNA (1233 nucleotides) under metagenome. RNAcentral's name for it is "bacterial LSU rRNA". It matches the Rfam family "Bacterial large subunit ribosomal RNA", at positions 1564 to 2808 of the family's 2925-position model. The record is from RNAcentral.
UGAAUACGAGACGCUAAGGCGUCGAAGUAGUGUAUGUCAUACUUCCAAGAAAAGCUUGCACUGUCAUAGAUAAAAAACGCCUGUACCAUAACCGACACAGGUGGGUAGGUAGAGUAUACUAAGGGGCGCGAGAUAACUCUCUCUAAGGAACUCGGCAAAAUAACUCCGUAACUUCGGGAGAAGGAGUGCCUUAUUCGUAAGGUUGCAAUAACAAGAUCCAAGCAACUGUUUAUCAAAAACACAGGUCUCCGCUAAGUCGUAAGACGAUGUAUGGGGGCUGACGCCUGCCCAGUGCCAGAAGGUUAAAGAAGUUGGUUAGCAAUUGCGAAGCUGAUAACUGAAGCCCUGGUGAACGGCGGCCGUAACAAUAACGGUCCUAAGGUAGCGAAAUUCCUUGUCGGGUAAGUUCCGACCCGCACGAAAGGCGUAAUGAUUUGGAUACUGUCUCGGAGAGGGGCUCGGUGAAAUAGACUUGUCUGUGAUGAUGCGGACUACCUGCACCAGGACAGAAAGACCCUAUGAAGCUUUACUGUAACUUGAAAUUGAAAUUGGACUUUAUUCGCGCAGCAUAGGUGGGAGGCGUUGAUUAUAAUCUUGCGGGAUUAUUGGAGCCAUCAGUGAGAUACCACUCUUGUAAUGUUAGAUUUCUAACUUUGAAUCAUUAUCUGGUCAAAGAACAGUUUCAGGCGGGCAGUUUGACUGGGGCGGUCGCCUCCUAAACGGUAACGGAGGCGUACAAAGGUUUCCUCUGAACGGUUAGAAAUCGUAUCUAGAGUGUAAAGGCAUAAGGAAGCUUGACUGUGAGACCUACAAGUCGAGCAGGGACGAAAGUCGGUCUUAGUGAUCUGACGGUACUGAGCGGAAAGGCCGUCACUCAACGGAUAAAAGUUACUCUAGAUAACAGGCUGAUCUCCCCCAAGAGUUCACAUCGACGGGGAGGUUUGGCACCUCGAUGUCGGCUCAUCGCAUCCUGGGGCGGUAGUACGUCCCAAGGGUUGGGCUGUUCGCCCAUGAAAGCGGUACGCGAGCUGGGUUCAGAACGUCGUGAGACAGUUCGGUCCAUAUCCGGUGUAGGCGUUAGAAUAUUGAGAGGUGCCUUCUUUAGUACGAGAGGACCGAGAAGGACAUACCUCUGGUGUACCAGUUAUCGUGCCAACGGUAAACGCUGGGUAGCUAUGUAUGGAGUGGAUAACCGCUGAAAGCAUCUAAGUGGGAAGCCCACCUCAAGAUAAG